GAGUUUGAUCCUGGCUCAGGACGAACGCUGGCGGCGUGCCUAAUACAUGCAAGUGGAACGCACAAGGUGCACCGUAGUUUACUACACCGUACUUUGUGAGUCGCGAACGGGUGAGUAACGCGUAGGUAACCUACCUUUUAGCGGGGGAUAACUAUUGGAAACGAUAGCUAAUACCGCAUAAGAUAUCUUACUGCAUAGUAAGAUAUUAAAAGAUGCAAUUGCAUCACUAAGAGAUGGACCUGCGUUGUAUUAGCUAGUAGGUGAGGUAACGGCUCACCUAGGCAACGAUACAUAGCCGACCUGAGAGGGUGAUCGGCCACACUGGGACUGAGACACGGCCCAGACUCCUACGGGAGGCAGCAGUAGGGAAUCUUCGGCAAUGGGGGGAACCCUGACCGAGCAACGCCGCGUGAGUGAAGAAGGUUUUCGGAUCGUAAAGCUCUGUUGUAAGAGAAGAACGAGCGUGAGAGUGGAAAGUUCACACUGUGACAGUAACUUACCAGAAAGGGACGGCUAACUACGUGCCAGCAGCCGCGGUAAUACGUAGGUCCCGAGCGUUGUCCGGAUUUAUUGGGCGUAAAGCGAGCGCAGGCGGUUAGAUAAGUCUGAAGUUAAAGGCUGUGGCUUAACCAUAGUACGCUUUGGAAACUGUUUAACUUGAGUGCAGAAGGGGAGAGUGGAAUUCCAUGUGUAGCGGUGAAAUGCGUAGUAAUAUGGAGGAACACCGGUGGCGAAAGCGGCUCUCUGGUCUGUAACUGACGCUGAGGCUCGAAAGCGUGGGAGCAAACAGGAUUAGAUACCCUGUAGUCCACGCCGUAAACGAUGAGUGCUAGGUGUUGGGUCCUUUCC
Molecule: ribosomal RNA, 849 nt
Filed under: uncultured bacterium
Lineage: Bacteria
Description: bacterial SSU rRNA
Rfam family: Bacterial small subunit ribosomal RNA
Source: RNAcentral